This 497-nucleotide ribosomal RNA is filed under the name uncultured bacterium. Its description in RNAcentral is "partial 16S ribosomal RNA". It matches the Rfam family "Bacterial small subunit ribosomal RNA", at positions 28 to 507 of the family's 1533-position model. The record is from RNAcentral.
GUUGAACGCUGGCGGCGUGCCUAAUACAUGCAAGUCGAGCGAACAGAUGAGGAGCUUGCUCCUCUGACGUUAGCGGCGGACGGGUGAGUAACACGUGGAUAACCUACCUAUAAGACUGGGAUAACUUCGGGAAACCGGAGCUAAUACCGGAUAAUAUAUUGAACCGCAUGGUUCAAUAGUGAAAGACGGUUUUGCUGUCACUUAUAGAUGGAUCCGCGCCGCAUUAGCUAGUUGGUAAGGUAACGGCUUACCAAGGCAACGAUGCGUAGCCGACCUGAGAGGGUGAUCGGCCACACUGGAACUGAGACACGGUCCAGACUCCUACGGGAGGCAGCAGUAGGGAAUCUUCCGCAAUGGGCGAAAGCCUGACGGAGCAACGCCGCGUGAGUGAUGAAGGUCUUCGGAGCGUAAAACUCUGUUAUUAGGGAAGAACAAAUGUGUAAGUAACUAUGCACGUCUUGACGGUACCUAAACAGAAAGGCACGGGUAACUACGUG